This 469-nucleotide ribosomal RNA is filed under the name uncultured bacterium. Its description in RNAcentral is "partial 16S ribosomal RNA". The stretch from base 13 to 374 matches the Rfam family "Bacterial small subunit ribosomal RNA", at positions 40 to 399 of the family's 1533-position model. The record is from RNAcentral.
GACGAACGCUGGCGGCGUGCUUAACACAUGCAAGUCGAACGGAAAGGCCCUGCUUUUGUGGGGUGCUCGAGUGGCGAACGGGUGAGUAACACGUGAGUAACCUGCCCUUGACUUUGGGAUAACUUCAGGAAACUGGGGCUAAUACCGGAUAGGAGCUCCUGCUGCAUGGUGGGGGUUGGAAAGUUUCGGCGGUUGGGGAUGGACUCGCGGCUUAUCAGCUUGUUGGUGGGGUAGUGGCUUACCAAGGCUUUGACGGGUAGCCGGCCUGAGAGGGUGACCGGGAAAAAGGGGGAAUGAGAAGGAGCAGAGCCUCAGAGGGGAGGAAGAGGGGGGAAAUAGGGAAAAGGGGGGGAGAGCGGGAAGCAGCAACGCCGGGGGGGGGAGAAGGGCUUGGGGGUGGAAAACCGUUUUCGCCGGGGAAGAGGGGAGAGGAAGGGAAGGGGAUAAAAAGAACCGGGAAAAAUAGGGC